UAUAUUAAAUUAAAGACUCAAUUAAUGCUACCUACAAAAUCUUAUGUUACUACUUCGUUUAAAAUAUGUGCAGUAGAGAUCACAUUAAUCAGUUUAACAUUAUUUCUUUGACUCAUUUAUACUUUGAACUGUUUAAUUGCAAACCCAGCUGAGUAUCGAUGUUCUGAAAAUAAGAAUGUUUUACUGUUCAUUUCGGACGUCAUGGACAUCUUCGUUAAAGAAAUCUCGAUUUUAAAGCCCAUUUUUUAUGGGAU
Long non-coding RNA from Juglans microcarpa x Juglans regia, 254 nucleotides. RefSeq lists it as uncharacterized. The record is from RefSeq and is a predicted model, not a curated record. Lineage: Eukaryota; Viridiplantae; Streptophyta; Magnoliopsida; Fagales; Juglandaceae. The transcript has 3 exons.